Pongo abelii (Sumatran orangutan) is the source of this 148-nucleotide unclassified non-coding RNA. It matches the Rfam family "Metazoan signal recognition particle RNA". From Rfam's summary of the family: The signal recognition particle (SRP) is a universally conserved ribonucleoprotein. It is involved in the co-translational targeting of proteins to membranes. The record is from Ensembl. Lineage: Eukaryota; Metazoa; Chordata; Mammalia; Primates; Hominidae.
GCUGGGCGUGGUGGCGUGUGCCUGUAGUCCCAGCUACUCGGGAGGCUGAGACAGGAGAAUUGCUUGAACCUGGGAGGCGGAGGUUGCAGUGAGCCAAGAUAGCGCCACUGCACUCCAGCCUGGGCAACAAAGCGAGAAUCUGUCUCAA